UACCAUCCCGGUCGUCCGGUACGUGUGUGAAGCUAUCAUUUGAAGAUUGAAUUGAAUAACCGAAAAGGUUGAAAAAAAAAUGAAUAUUUUAGAAUUUUCGGAGUUAUAAGGUGUUAGAAUGAAAAGAUGCUCAAAGAGCCACCCUCGAUGCUAUAUUAGUUAAAUCUCUAUUUUGAACGAUUUGCGACAAAUUGAGGUCAAUUUGGUUGAAUUUCUAAAAAUCAAUUUUCAUGAACCGUUACAUCUUGAUGGUUUUGAAUCAUUAAAUUAUUUUUGAUAACAUA
This 284-nucleotide long non-coding RNA is filed under the name Ananas comosus (pineapple). Its description in RNAcentral is "long non-coding RNA (ACOM_LNC005359)". The record is from RNAcentral. Lineage: Eukaryota; Viridiplantae; Streptophyta; Magnoliopsida; Poales; Bromeliaceae.